CCCAUACGCGAGUAUGUGAAGGCCAUCUUUCGUAGUUCUCCCUGGACAUUUUUGAUAUGACGGAAGAGGGCUGGCUCUUCGAUUUCAUGAAGGGGCUCCAAUCUACGCCAAAAUGUCCAAGACUUAGGGGCGAAACAGGCCAUCUAGCCUGCUAGAUUGAAAGUACUUAGCCAGGGAGAGUCGAGACCAGGACAAGGGCAGGGGCCUAAAGUAUCGAAAAGGCAAGGACUCUUCCGUUGGAGAUGUUAUUAACCUUUCUCGUAUCAUGUAGACACUGAUAUCCAAAGGGUUUUUAUGCCUCUUUACUUCUGUUUUUUUUUUUUUGAUAAGUAGUCAUUUCAUUAUCCAACAAGCAGUAAAACACUGCUACCAAAUGAUAGUUUCAAACAAUACAAAAUUAUCUAUACUUAGAUGGGAUCUGACAGAUAACUCUUUAUUAGCAUGAUCAAAAGCAAUAUCCUUUGAUUGAGCUAAUUUCAUUUAAAUAAGUAGUAAAAUUAAUUUAAGUGAGAUUGAAUAUAAUAGCAAAAAUGAGAUUAAUUAUAUAGUGAUAAGAUUAAUUAUUGUAUAAGUGAGAUUAGAAUCAAUGAUGGGUAUAUAAUUAAAUUUUUAAUAUAUUUUUUACAUUUAUAAGUUAAUUUUAAUAACAAAUAAUAAAUUUAUUAAAAAAUAAUAAUAAUGUUUUACGAUUAAAAAUUGAUUUUUUAAAAAUAUUUUUGGGUAUUUAUUUAUUUAUUAAUUUAUUAAGUAAUUAUAUAAAUGAUUAAUUAAAUAAUUAUAAUAAUAUUAUUUAAAAUAUUUAAAUAAAAAGAAAACUAAAAUAAUCAAAAAACAAAUAAAUAAUUAGAAAGACACAAAAUGGCUACAAGUGAUAGGGGUAUUUUUGUCCUUACACUGGUUCUAAAGGUAGAAAUGGAAAAAGGACGAGGAGCAUGGGUAAAAAAAGAAAGAAUGCUGCAAUAAGAGUGGAAUAUUUUCACUGGAUCUUUAAGGUCCAAUCAGUUUUUAAGCUUCCAUUGCAGUCAAAAAGCAUGAAAUGCAUUGGCCUUUGUUAUCAAAACACUUCAUUAGUGCAAUCGUAUGCUUCAAUUGGAUCUCACUGGGCUUCAGUUGAAAGCAAAUGAAGCCUUAAUCUGACAGCAUCCUUGAUCUGCCUCAAAGCCUGCUCACCAAUGUUUCUUCAGAAUUGUACAAUAAUUUCUUCCCUCGAAACCGACUAACAACCCAUUGGAAUUCAUCCUCCUAAUCAGCAAACUACAUUGUGCAGAAAAUAGAAAAAAAAAUCUAACGACCAAGGGUUUAAACAAUAUGAGGUCAACUAGGUUUUUGAAUUGAGGAAGUGAUACAACCAUGGAAGAAGAAACUCCAUUGCUUUCCUAUUUAUGGUAUUAGAACUAGCAACUUAGGAUUUUAUUUUUAUUUUCAUGUGCAAGGGCAGAUUGAAAAUUUUAGUUCCUUCGCCUAAGGGUUAAGGUUUUGAUGAGUUUUUAUUAUGGAGUUUCUAGGAGUUUAUUUUAUUUUCUUGGUUUUUAAUUAGUAAGUUAUUCUUGAAACUGCCAUCUGAUUGGUAGCAGAUCUGACCCAUUGUUGUCAUUUUUCUUUUUGGUUUUGGUAUAUAUAUAAGAGAAAGGAUUAAUUUACAUAAUAUAAAAAUUUUUAAGUUUUAUUUUUUUAAUUUUUUAUUUUAAUAUAUUUUAAAAAUUGAGAGUGAUACGUAAACAUAAAAAAAAGUUUUAAUAAAAUUUUUUGAAUUUAUUAAAAAUAAUGAUUACAAAUAUAAAAAAAUAAAUUAUAUAAAUUGAUCCUUAAAUAAAAAUGAUAAAUUGGUGAAACUGCUACCUAAUUAGUAGCUAUACUGAAAAUUCUCUAGUCAGCAUCACCUUGGGUGAUAGGAAUUGUUUUAUCCUUUUUAUUUCUUGAAAACUAUAGCAAGGUUCCAUAUUUUCCCUUGCUUCAUCUGUUUUUGUCUAUAUAAAGUUGCUGAUAUUCCUCAAAAAGAAGUGUUAAAUUUGGGUCAAAAGAGGAAGGUGUUUGUACUGAUGAAAUCAAUUAACUACGAAUUAUAAGAUCACUCACUUUUAUAAAAAAAUUUUUGCAACAAAACUUUAUAAAAGAAAUCUAAAGAUAAUUUGAACAAAGAGAGAGAGUUUUGCAAGUUGUUUUUGUUCUAUAUCUUCAAAAAACUAUAGGAGUUUUAUAUUUAAAUUGUCUUUUGAAUUUUACAAAAAUAAUUGUCUAUUUUGAAUAGACAUAAUUUGUCUUAUUUAAAUAGACUUAAUUAUUUAUGUUGAACAAAUAUAAACCAUUUAUAAUUUGACUGUUUUGAAUAAAGUUUAUUAUCCACACUUGAUUACAAUUAAAAUUUUAACAAAAAUAAUAAUUUUUUAAUGCACUACAACUACAAAGUGUCAUUUUUAAAUAUCAAUAAAUAUUAAUUAUUUAACUAAUGCAAGACCAACCAAACUUGAAAAUCCAAAUCCAAGGUCCAUCUUUGUGCUUUAGCAAUUUAAAUCCAACUACAUUUGGAUUUCUACUCUUAAUUUAAAUGGUUGUCUUAUCUUUUCCUUUUCCAAUAUGGGAUUACUUCUAUACUUUAUUUUGAAAAUCUCUAAUAAUCUCCAACUAUUUUCAAAAUAAUCUCGAUUUAUGAUAAUAUUAGAAAUCAAUUGCAUAAAUGAAAAUAUCUUUUGAUUUGAACAUUCAUUUAGUGAAAACAAGUUAAAGUUAAUCAAAAUUGUAUGGUAGACUAUACUUUGAAUAAGCUAUUCCAUUUGAUUAAUUGAACUUAUCUCACAUAAUGAUUUUAACACCCAAUGAAUACUUGGUAUCCAAUUACACUUUUAUUGUUAUGUGUUUGCAUUCUCUUUUUAUAAGUGCUUUUACAAUCAAGAUCUUGAGCUUUUAGAAGCGGCUAUACUUUACACUCACAUAGGAAGUAUUCAUUAAAAGUAUUCCUGUAACUUUAACACUUUAACAUAUUUAUAUUAUGGGUUUAUUAAGAGUAUAUUACUCAUCAUUCCUUUACCAUUAAAGGUAUCUAGCACUUUUUCUAGGAUGGAAUAACUAUAAGGGUUUAGGUUUUUAGUGGCUUUUUUUUUUUUUAAUGUUUAGCGACGUUUAUAAACACCACUAAAAGAUUUACAACGUUUUGCAAAAAAUGCCAGUCAGAGUACCAACUAUACACGUUUCACAAAAAAUAAUAGUAUUUUUUAUAAAACGUCACUAUAUUAGCAGUGUUUAUAUCUAGAAAAUGUAACUGUAUAUUAGCGACAUUUGCAUCUAAAAAACGCAAUAAUUUUAGCAGCGUUUAUAUCUUUGAGACGCCGCUACUUUAGUGAUAUUUUUAUAAGAAAAAUACCGUUAUUUUGGUGACGUUUGUAUAAAAAAAUGUCACUAAUUUAGCGGCGUUUGUGUUUAAAAAUAUCGUUAAAUGCUAAAAAUAGUGACGUUUAUAGUAAAAACGUCACUAAAUUUAAUGACGUUUUCUGAUACAAACAUUACUAAAUUUAGCAUUUAGUGGUAUUUUUAAAUACAAAUGUCGUUAAAUAAAAAAUUUUACUUUUUGUUAAUUUUCUUUUAAUAUUUAUUGGAAGGAGUCGCACUUGCUUUGAAUGGAGCCUACAAUGCCCAUUCCUCAUCUUAGCUUCAAUUGCUAAAAAGAACAUUUCUCUAGGAACCUCAAAAUGUGCUGUUAGAAAUGCAUCACAGUACAUUUCAUUUAUCUUCUCCAUAACUUCAUGUUUCAUCAUGAUUGAAAAAUGUCAUUGGGUAAGCUAUAAAAAGUACCAUAAAAUUUGUAAUGUAAGAUAAAAUCAGGGAAGAUAUACAAGAUCUCAUUGUUACAUACAUGCAAAAAAAGUAGAAAAACAAAUUUAACCAAAGCAAUAAACUAAGAUAUAUUUUUUGGCCAAUGAUCAAGAUAAAUACACAAGGUAAAAUGAUGUACAGUCCCUCUCUGAGUGCAUUUCACGAAAAUACCUUUUAUAAUGAUAGUUCUUCCAUUUUGCAUAUUUCAUUAUAAAAUUGCUAGACUUGAAAUGUAGUGCCAUAUAAUUUGAGGGAAGGAGAAUAUACAAAAGGCUGGGAGAUAAAUCUUCAAUCAAGUUCAUAUUUGAUUGCAUUGGAAAAAGAUAAAGAAUAUUUAAUUCCAUGAAGUUUAUAAGAUAAACCAUUUCAAAUCAUAUUUUCAGGUCGUAAAUAAAUUCGUAGAAAUAAAUGUAUUCAAAUGCUUUAAGAGGGAAAUAAACCAAUCUUUCAAAAUAAAAUGACCACACAAUAAAGUUUUAAGAGGGAAAUGCAAAUUGUGUAAUGGAUAAAUCAACUAUGCUGCACCUUGAACUAAUGGUAUAGCUAUGUCUAUCGAGAUCAAUGCUUUUUUUGACUUAGUAGUAGUAAAAAAUGUAUCAUGGAAUCAUCAGAAAGUAAUUGGAAAAAGUAUAAAAGACCAAUCCAAGUUGAUAGGCCUAUAGUAUGCACCUUUCAAUUGUAAAGGUUUCAUAAUAAAAUCCAAAAUAGCAAAUGGAACCAUCACAAUGGUUUCCACCUACAAUGCAAAAUGCCAAUUUAAAUGACUGCCAACUUGUUAGCUAGUUAUCUUAGAUUAACAUAUGGGCAGAGCAUAGAGCAUCACAAAAUAUGGACAAUAGUAAAACUUGGCAUAUUUAAAAUAAGGAUGGUUCUUUUAUUCUUAAACUAGGAAGGAAUUAAAGAGAUCAGUUUAACAAAUACCUGUAAAAAAGCUAGAAAAAAAACUUACUAUUCUAUUGUAAACACAUUCGAGUGCAUAUCUAAUUGACAUACACAUGUAAAAGAUUGCUAGCCAUGCUGUUUUAUGAUACAAAAGUAAAAGAAGAAUAAGAUUCAAGGGGAUGACAUCAACAAAAAAGUUUCUAAUUGAAAGAGAUAUAAACACAAAGGGCACGUUGCAUAUAACUCCCAAACUCAAUAGUUAAUAGCAAGAUGACUGUGAUUUAUAGGUGUGAUAAAAUAAUUAGAUUAAACCCUAAAACUAACUUUUUUUAUAAUGGGUCAUACUAAAACAAUUAACUUAAUUUCUUGUUUCAACAUUAAAAGCCUGAAGCUAGAACAUCCUUUUUUUACCUUUUUCAAUCAUACCAAUUUAUGGAAAAAGCCAAAAUUCCUUGACUUUUGGGAUAAAAUAACUUUUUGGUCACAUUUAGAUCUUCAUUCAAAUAAACAAGUAAGAGUAUCUUAACACAUAUCAACUUUAGGAUACAUUAAAUAAAGAAAAUUCUUAUACAGAUAAGUUAUCAACAUUGCAAGUAUAGUAGCCCAAACUUUAAAGCAAUUGGAUCAAAACAAAUCCAACUCCAAACCUAAACACACAUAUAAUUGAAAUAGAAUGCAUCUCAAAACCAAUAUAUUAAAUUUGAAUUUUCAUUUUUGUUCCUUUAAAUUUUCUUCAAAACAAGUUGGAAUUUCAAAGAUCUAUAAAAAAACAUUAUGAGAAAUCAAUUUGAAAAUCAAAAGUUGAAGAAAAAUCACACAAUGUAAUGAAAGAACACAAAACUGCAACUAACAACUAACUUGUAACCAAAUGUGAAUUAAUUGAUCUACAUCUAAUUGAUGCUAAAACAAGUGAUCAUAAACUGAAAUUGAAAAUAUCAAUUAAGGAACGGAAAGGAAAACUGAUUUGAAGAACAAAAAAUGCAAGAAAAUACAAGAAUUAACUAGAAACAACUAAAAUAUAAAGUGAAAUUCAACCGAAACUCACUGAGUUGAUGAAAGAAAAAAUUAGGUCUAUAAGCUUAUAAUGAAAAUGAACUUGAAAUGAGCUAACAAACAAUUCAUCAAUCAAGUUUGCUACAAAAUUCAACAAGAAAAUGGUAACAAAAUAGAGAAAAACCAACUUAAUAAACUAGCAACUCAAGUGAUACUCAAAAUAGAGAAAAACAGAGCAUUAACAACUAAAUCUAUCCAAACACCAAAUGAAUUCAUGAAAAUAAUGCAAUCAAUUAAAAAAUAAUGAGUAAACAUUUAAAACUAAGAAUGUAAAAUAUGAGAGAAUCAAAUCGAACACCUAGAAGAAGAGAGGAUCAUCAUUCAUCAAGUUCUCAUGCAUGGAUCAUUUUUACCUUUUGGAUUCAGCUUUAAUUUUGAAGAAUUAACUGUACUUGUAAAGAUGGAAUUUGACCCUGAGUUUUUAUUGGAUUAUAGCUUUAUGAACUAGGAAUCUAGAAAAAACUUUUUGAAGUAAAUCAAGCUAGAAUUCACUUUGAUCAAAAGACUAAAGAUAGGUCAAGUGUGCGAUUUUGAAACCAGAUUUGAGUUCAAUGUGAAUUUUAUAGAAUUUGAAAAGAAAAUCAUAAAAAUUUGUAAAUUUCAUUAUGAAAACCUUAAAGAACAUUCAAAAAGAAUCUAGGAAACCUAAAAUUGUAACAAGAUUCAAUUAAGAAAAUUGAAAUUAAAAGUUGUUUGGUUGGAAAGAAAAUGAAAAUGAUAGCAAAUCAAGUUCUGACAAGAAAAAUGAAAGGUAAAAUAUCAGUUUGUGCUCUAAGUUACACUAGCAAAGAUAUAUUGGAAGUAUAAACUUCUUAUAAGACAGUUGAUUAGUCAUAAAAUAUGGCUUAAACAAGCUUCAAGAAAGUACGAACAACCAUCAACAAAUAUUAGAUAGACAUUCAUGUGAAACCAUGGCCUUCCACCCUAAAACCCCUUAGUUUCUGACAAAUUAUUAAAAAAAGUUCUUUUUGUAAUAGAAUAUAAGAUUCAAGUACAUUCAGUUAUCAUGAAUUUAUACUUUUAUACAGUUCUCUUGAUUUGAAAAAUCUUUUUUUAAAACAAUUAUGUUUCUCACUUUCUCUCACACUCACCUAAGCACAUUCAACACAGUAAAUCGAACAGCAAGCAAAGAUUUUUAUAUUAAACCAGUAGAGAUAGAGUUAGAAUCAAUGUAAAGCAUUCACAUAUAGAUAUGAGAUAAGUGAGAGCAACCUUGUGCUGGAGUACUCAAAGAGCUUUCUAGUGGCUGAAAAGACUAGAAGAGCUAUCUCAGUAUUACAAAAAGUGGAAAGCUCAUGAGCUUUCUUAAAAAGUCUUCGUCUUUUUUUUUAAGAAAGUCACAUGCCUUAUUGCUACAUUGUCAAUCUUCUUGAUUUGAAUUUUCUUUCUCGCCAUUCUCUUCUAAGAAAAAAACUGAGGAAAGAAAGAAAAUUACAAAGAAAAAAGAGAGGGUUUCAAUUUUGGAAAAAAAUUUUAGCUGUACCAUUUUUCACAAUAACAACAUUUACUUUAAAAAAAUACCACUAUUUGUAAAAAUGAUUAUUGAAGGCAUUUUAAGCAAAAAAAACACUUUCAAUAAUCCUCUUAAAUUUUUUAGAGAGGAUUAUUGAAGGCGUUUUCUGCAAAAAAAAUACAUUUAAUAAUUUCUUUUAAUUUUUUAAAGUGAAUUAUUGAAAGUGUUUCAGGCAAAAAAGGCAUUCAAUAAUCCCCUUAAAUUUUGAUGAGAAGAUUAUUGAAAGUGUUUUUGGCUAAAAACGCUUUUAAUAAUCCCCUCCAAUUUUUUAAAGGGGAUUCUUGAUAGCAUUUUUUGAUAAAAAAUACCUUCAAUAAACUCCUCCAAUUUUUUAGAGGGGAUUAUUAAAUGCGUUUUCUACAAAAAAAUACCUUCAAUAAUCCUUUUCUUUUUUUAUGAGAGGAUUAUUGAAGGUGUUUUUGCACAAAACACCUUUAAUAAUCUCCUUCAAUUUUUUAUGAGAGAUUAUUAAAGGUGUUUCAGACAAAAGAUACCUCGAAUAAUCUGCUCAUAAAAAAUAGAAGCGAUGAUUGAAGGCAUUAGUGUUUUCUGCUAGAAACGCCUUCAAUAAUCCCCUUUAAAAAUUGUAAAAGAUUAUUGAAAGCGUUUUUAGUAAAAAACUUCUUCAAUAAAUCUCUUUGUCAAUGAAUCUACCAAAAAUGGAAUAGUGUUAUCGGUUAAAGCAUACGGUCAUUAAUCAUAAGGUUGUAGGUUCAAUCAUUCUCUUCAAUAUUUUUUAAGUUUUUUUGAAGGAUUAUUAAAGACGUUUCUGACAAAAAACGCAUUCAAUAAUUCCCCUAAAAAAUUAGAGACGAUUAUUAAAGGCGUUUACUAAAAAGAUGAGUUGAACCUACGACCUUAUAGUUAACGACCGUAUACUCUAAUCGACAAUACUAUUCCAUUGUUGGUAGAUUUAUUGAUAAGGAGAUUUAUUAAAGAUUUUUUGACCAAAAACGCCUUCAAUAAUCUUUUACAAUUUUUUAAAAAAUUAUUAAAGGUAUCUUUUUACAGAAAACGCCUUCAAUAAUCCCUUCUAUUUUUUAUGAAAGGAUUAUUCAAAGCAUUGUCUACCAAAAAUACCUUUAAUAAUCCCCUAUCCAUUUUUUAUAAGAGGAUUAUUGAAGGCGUUUUCUACAAAAAAAAUACCUUCAAUAAUCACUUUAAUUUUUUAAGAAAGGAUUAUUCAAGGUGUUUUAGUCGAUAAACGCCGUUAAUUUUUGUCUUUAAUGACGUUUAUAAGUAAUAAUGCCGCUAUUUGAAUAUUUAGUAGCGUUUUGAUAAUAAACAUCUUAGGUUAUAUAAAAACAUGAAAGCUAACGAUGUUUGUAAGUGAAACGCCACUACAAAAUUGCCCCUAAUCUUUCAUUUUCUUAUAGUGAAUUAUAUAUUUUAUUAUAGUGCUACCAGUCACAUAUAAAUAAUAUACUUUGUCUCAUUGAACUUAAAAUGUUAUAUCAAGUGUUGAGUCAAGUUUUUAUCAUGGAUAACUUUAACUUAUGACAUGGAGUCCCAUCCCUAGUAAAGUCUUUUUUUAUUAAUCCUCUAGUAAGACUUUUGGUUUAAAAAUCCACCAAAUUUUGACUUGACCUCAUAUAGUUUAUAGUGAUCACUCCAAAUGAAGUUAAUUGUUAAACAUAACUAUGUCUCAAUCCAAUAUGUCUAGACUUUUCAUAUAUAUAUAUUUAGCUGUAUACCUUUGCUAAAGUUGCUUCACUAUCACAUCAGGUAGAAAUUAGAGAAAUUAGUUUAGAACAUAAAGGCACUUCAUGUAACAAAUUUUUUAGCCAUUUUGCUUCUUUAGCUGCUAUAACCAACGCAAUAAACUAGAUUGUCAUGGUGGAAUCCAUUAUACAUGUUUGUUUCUUAGAACCCUAAGAAAUGGCACUCCUACCAAGUACAAAGAUCCACCUGCUUAUAGAAACAUGGUAUUCCAUAUUAAUAAUUGAACUAGCAUCAAAAUAUUCUUCUAAAACUUAAGGAUAUCCACUAUAACCAGCCCAUAAUUGAUUGUUUUCUUAUAAUACUUUAGUACUCUUUUAAUUGCUUGCCAACUGGAUACAUCCAUCUAUAAUAAACAUGUCUUAUAAUUUUUGGCUCUUUAGCCAAAUGAACCCCCAAAUAUAUCACGAUGAUAAAAAUUGAAGGAGUGAAAAUCUUCGUCAAUUGACAAAAAGUGAGCACAAUCUUAGACCAGAGCUACUCAAACUCGUCUACUUGGAGAACUUAAGCACAUAAUGACUUGAAAAAUUAACCUAAUUUAACCAUAACCAUGGUCACAUCCCUAGGAAAAAGCCCAGGCAAUGCAAGUUCAAGAAACUCCUCAAUCAAUAUGUGGCAAAUGUGACUUUUUAAAGGUAAAAUUUUGUAAUCUUUGAGAUUGACACAUUGAAAGAUAUUUGAAGAGUAACCAUCAGGGACUUUGAUACUUUUUAAAAAAUAUCUUUCUCUUUUUUUUGACAUCUAAUAGCAUGUAUGAGGUUUAUGAAGUCUACCAUCUCCGUCUUUUUUUGGAUGUAAUUCUUUUCAUAUACCCAAUGCUUACAAGUUUAGACAUUCAUUCAAAUUAUCCUUAAUCUUCCUCUCCAUAUUUAAUAAAAUCUGUAAAACAUUAUCACAAACAUUUUUUCUACAUGCAUUAUAUCUAGAUUAUAAUGCAACAAUUUGAUUACUCUAAAAUUUUAGCAUUUUCUUAUCUCAUUUUAGUGCUAUUCCUCUUGAAUAUUGGCUUAUUCCUUGAGAAAUUUGACAAAAAUACUCUUAAAUGCAUAAAUAUUCAAUGUGUAGGUGAAAAUAUGAGAAUGAAAGAAAUUUGGAGCUUCUAGACUCAUUUUGGAGGAAAUUUGGUGCACAAAGCCAUGAAAAACUAAAACCAGUGUGUUUGUGCUACAUUGCUAAUAUAUGAGUUUUCCUUACCCUUUCUUUUUUAUUAUUUGAUUAGCUUAUUUGAACUCAAUUAAACUUUGCAUCAAGCCUUAUUCCUCUUAAUUUUCAUUUGGAAACGUUUUGCUUAGUUCAUUAGUGUAUUAUUACCUUGUAGAAUUUUCACAAGUGCUAGAAAGGUAAUAUGUGCAUUAGUGUAGUUUGAAACAUUCUUUGGAAUUGAUAAUUUUUUAGAAUUUUUCAUGCAUAAAUUUUUCAUUAAAUGGUUUGUAUUUGACAUCAAAUUGAAAGAGAAAUUAGUUACAAUUGAGACCAAAACUAGGGAGUAAAAUUCAACCAAGGCUAUUUGAUGCAUUAGCCAUGUGAUCAAGAUCUUGUGGCUUCAUUUGGAGAUUCAAAAAGAGGCCAAUUAGAGCUGUUUAGCUGGCCAUUUGAAGGCUUCUAAUUAGACAUAAUAUUGACUUUUUGGAGUUUAAAGAUCAAGAGAAGAAAGCUUAAAGUGAAAGUAAGAAGAAGCAAUCAAGUGAGCUAAGGGUGUAAGUUAGUUAAGAUAGAAAGAUCUAGAAAAUGAGGCAAUUGAGCCUACAUUUUCAUUGGUUGAACCAUCUUACUUUUGCCUAUAAAUAGGGAAGAGUGGCCAGCCAUAGGGAUACUUUAGCUAGUUUUAUGUUGUUUUCUUUUCCUUUCAUUUACUUUCUUUUCUCUCUAAAUAGUUUCCUCCAUGUGUUUUAGAGGAUUGUUUGAGAGAAAAUUACAUUUAUUUUUCAGCAAAAUUUACUUUCCUUGCCUUUAUUUUUUAUGCACUUUAAGAUUUUUUCAAUUAAAGUUCAAGAUCUUUAAGUUUUAAAGUUCAAGUUGAAGCAAUUUCAUUUGUUUCUCAAAUCUGUUUGGCAAUUCAUGUUUUUGACCUAGCUGCGGUUUUUCUAUUGAAUCUUAAUCAAAUCUUACUUGUUUCAAUCCAAUAAUUUUUUGUGGGUUCUUGAUUCAUUGUUCUACAAUUCUAGAAAAAAUUGCAUUCAAAUUCAUUCCACACAAUUCCAAAAAACAUUUCAAAGUUUUAGUUGAAUCCAAAAGGUGAGCUAGAGUUUGAGUGAGAGAUAGCAUUUCAUGUUGCUUUUCUCCUAGAUGGGUGUUUGGUUUGCAAUUUCUUCACUUUACAUUGUUUAAUUCAUCAAUUAACUUGUUAAAUUUCAUUUGAUUGCAUUUAAAUUCAUGCAUUUAAAUUAUAUUUGGCUAAUUUUCUUGUAACUACUUUGUUUUUCCUAUUAUUGUACUCGGUUUGGAUUUUAGUUCAUUGAACUUGGAUUUCAAUUGUCUUAUGCAAUUUCUUUGUUGAUCUAGGUAUUAAAUCUAUAGAUCUAUGUUUUUCUAGCUUAGUUCAAGUUCAUUCCCUUUAGAGAACUCUAUAUCUAAAUUUUCAUCCAAGAAAAGAUAGUUUCCAGCAUGCAAUUUCAAUAAUGGUUUUUUAUUAUUUCAAUUGUAAUUUAAAUUUUGAUUUGAUCUUCAUUUAUGUUCCAUUUUUUAAGUUUCCAACUCGUUUGGUCAUUUCUUAAGAAUUUUCUAGAUGUUUUUCUUGUUAAAAGUCAAUAGUUAGUUAAAGUUAGUUCUUUUGGUUUACUUCCUUUAGCUACUGUUUUUGUUGAUUUUUACUAUUGUUAUUUUUGUUUCUUAGAUUAGAUUUGCAUUUAAUUCAUGAUGAGUUCAUUGAAAUCUAUUUUAGCUAUGUUUUAAUGAUUUUUAUACUUUAAUUAGUUCAUAUAUUGUAAGUUCUUUUCCUACUAGAAUUAAGCUUUAUGCAUUGUUUGAUUUUACUUUCCUAGUUAGCUUAGUUUCAUGUCAACCUUUCGAUUGAGCCAACUUUAAAUAAAGUGUAGGGACAAAAGGUAUUUAGGCUAAGAACCUCUUUAACUAAUUAUCAUGGGAUCAACAUUUAGACUUUUUAAUCUCUAUUAUUACUUAAAUGAUCUAUGCGCUUGCAGAAAAAAUCCCAAUCAUAAUGCUUUUUUUAUUAUUAUGCUCCCAAUACGGCAAAGUAAAAAGAAUGCUUUUUUUUUUUCAAGUAUCAAAAUGAACUAGAUUUUUAUUUCCAAAAGUAGCAUGCACAUUUUCUACUUGACUUAAAAUCAUAGCUCAUAAAGGUGAAAUUAGGGCAACACUUAGUUAUUGAGUGCCAUUAAAAGAGGAAUUAGUUCAAAAUUUAUGAUUAAUAUCUAAAAACUGAUGAUUACCCAUGAAACAAUGUUUUCCCCCAUGAUCUAGCCAUAAAUGACAUGUAUCCUCAGAACAACGAAGACAAGCAAAUAAACUUUUAACAUUCCAACCAAACAAAUCACCAUAUAUAGAAAGUCGUUUAUCUUCCACAUUAAUGCAACGCAUAAUUAAAAAUUAUCUCUAGCAAAAGCAUCAAAGGUGUUUACAUACUAGAAGUUGUAAGUAAACGUAAAUAUCAUUUACAUGUCCAUUCUUACUUGGAAUCACUAAGAAAUGAAUAAAACUUGACUCUUUCAUGGACAACAAAUGAGGUAAAUUAUACGGUAUCACCAUAACAUGCCAAACACUAUACUUAUUAUUCACUAUUCUAAAUGGAAUAAAUUCAUCAAUAGCCAAGCCUAGUCUCACAUUACGAGGGUCUAAGGCAAAAUUAAGAUAUCGUAAUUCAAAAUAUUUUUAAGCAAUAAAGUCAGUUGGAUGUAUAGUCUUUCCAUUUUUUUAUGACCUUUAUCAUGCAUACCAUGGUAGAAGCCAUUUUUGGAGUUUAGGUUUCAAAGGAAAAUGACAUAACACCUUUAUAGCUUUUUUUCUUUUUACCAAAAAAAUUACCUUCCAAAUUAACAUUAUCAUUCUACGCCCACCUAGAAGCACCACACACAUAACACAAGUCUUCAUUUGUUCUUUCUUUUGGAAAUAACAUAUAAUCAUUUAGACAAGCAUAAAUAUUUUCAUAUCUAAUACCUAAUUCACAAUAGGAAUUAGGCAAGGUUUGACCCUCGAAAAGAAUCAUUUUCAUUAAUGAAAGGAGAAACUUGAAUGACUCAUUACUUAUCCCACUAGAAACCUUUAUAUGAAACAAAUCUAUGAUGACAGAUAAUCUAGAUUGUUUUUUAAAUCCCAUAUUAAAUUCUUGGUUAUAAUCCUUUCACACUUUAUAAAACUUCUCCACUUCAAUAUUUGGCUAUUUUUAGAAUUGUUUACUAUCACUCCCUCCAUUAGAAAAUUGAGAAAAAUCUGUUAUAUUUUCAUUUUCAUCAACUCUUAAACUCUCUUCAACAUUAAGGAAUCUAAGUUCUUGAAAGCUUUCAAAUUGAAAAAACCUUUCGAUAAAUGAGACUCAUAAGUAGGCAAUGAAGUUUCACCAUGACAAACCCAAUUAGUAUAAUCAGACAAAAACCCAUUGCAAAUCAAAUGCUCUUGUACUACUUCUAAUGGUAUCCAAUGCAUAUUGACACAUUUCAUGUGUGGACAUAAAAUCAUACCAUCUCAGCAUGCAUUUUCAAAUGUAGAUCUUAAAAAUUGGCUAAGUCCUUACAUAUAUUCACUAAUAAAUCUAGAUCUUUUAAUUUAAAUAUUAUCCAUGGUUGUAGUACUUAUGGAAAAAGAAAGUAAGUAAUGACGAAGGAGGACACAACAUAGAAAAUAAAGCAACUUUUAAGAAUUAUAAAAUAAUGAAAAUCAAUUUAUUCUAAAAGUUAUAUUCACAUGAACAACAUAUCAAUUUAAAACUUUCACAUCACAAAAGAGCCUAAAGAAUAACAUCAUCUUAUUUCUCCAAUCAACAUUAAGACACUAACCUAUUAAUAAUACCCAGGUUAAUUUACAAAAUGAUAAAAAAGGAACUAACCUUGUUAUCAAUAAGAAUAAGUUCAUACAAUAUCCUGAUUCUUUUGAAAAUUUUCUCCCUAGCAAUGGCAACAAUUGAAUAAAAAAACAAGAAAAAAAAUCAUUAGAUUAUUCACCAAAGAUGUUUAAAUAUCUUUUUAAUAUAGGAUAAUAAUGAAUCCAAUCUUAAUACUUAUAUAUAUAUAUAUUAUCUAUAUUACUAGGGAGCAGAGCAUCUUUAAUUACGAAGAUCAAAGCAUUUGAUGUUUGUCAAUCAAAUAUUUUGAGUUAUUUCAAAUUGGAUUUCAAUCAAAUGUUUUAAGCAAAGAGAUUGGGAAUAUGUAAUAACUAUAUUAAUAGAAAACCUAGCCUCUAGCUAAAAUCUAAUGAAUGGCAUCAUUAACAGCUUAAUCCUCAUAUCUAAUAGCAAGUCUCAUUGUUACAUCCAUUGGAUCGUUAAUUUCAAAUCACAAAUCAUCAAAAAAAUAAAAUCAAAAUGAAAAUCAAGAAAUUAAAACUUACCUUAGCUAGAUUAGACUUGAGUUUUAGCUUGAUUGAUCAACAAAAUCAAGAUAAGUAAGACCACCUAAGACUUAAACUUGAUCAAAACAAAAAUAUUAUUAGCCAUUUUAUACAUUACAAAAUCAGAAUCAAAAUGAAGAUAGAGAUUGAUUUUAAUGAAAGUACUUGGCUAGGAAAUGGCAUUGAUGGAGAAGACAACAAUAGUCGAGCUGAAAUUAAAGAGGAAAAAUUAGGGAUUUUAAAAAAAUUAAAGAAACUUAUUUGAAAAACAAUAGAUAAAAAAACAUGAAAAGAUAGGGAAUGAGAGGAAGAUGAAGAUGACUUGAAGAACAUAAAGGAUUAGCAGAGAGUUUUGUAGCUUUGGAAAAUUAAAAAAAAUCCAAAUGCAAAAAUGAAUUAAAAGAAGAGUUUAGAGUUUUUUUAGUGGGUUAAAUCCAUUUAGCUACAAAAAGCAGUGAAAAAUAAAAAUGAAAACAGAGCCAUUUUUUGUUUUUAUUUUUUUGGCAAAUAAAAAUAUAAAUAAAAACGUGUUUGAUAAUUGAAAAUGAAAACAAAUUUUUGUAAAACAAAAAUGAAAAUAGAUUGAAAUAUGAAAAUAAAAAAGAAGAUGUUUUCAAUUGUGAAAACAAAAUAUCUACAUUACUUUUUUUCUUGUGUUUUUCAAGUUAUAAGAUUUACACACUUUUUAAUGUCAUUAAUUAAUAGAUAUAUAUUAUAUUUAUAAUUACAUGCCAUUAAUAGUAAUAUCAUUAAUAUUUUAUUUAUUUAUUUAUUUAUUUACACAUUUUAAAAAAAAUUAUUUUCAUUUACCAAAUAUAUUUUUAAAAAACAUAAAAUAAAAAGUAAAAAAUAUUUUUUCAAAUCAAAUAUAAUUUCAAUGUAGAAUUACUUUUUAUAUUUUAUUUUAAAAAUCCCUACCAGCUACUAAUUUGCAUAAUGCAGUACAUACUUGUAGUGCACAUUUGUACCAUUCAUGAUUCCAAAGGGAUUCUUGUCAUAAUUCACACAUGAAACAUAAGCAAAGGUUAGUUAUGUUUAUUGCAACAUUUUAAAAGUGAUUAUAAGUGUCAGAUUCUUCUUCAAUGGUUGGAGAUUCGUUUCUUUUUCACCUUUUAGGCCUGUGAAAAAGAAAAGUAUGACCAGAAGUGAAGAAAGUAGUCCCGUUUUUCAAUUUAAAAAAAAAAAAAAGUGAAAAUUGAUAACUCAACAAAAUCACUAGGGAAAAUCUUGGUUAAUUUUUUAAUAAUUUUAAGCAUGCAACGAGAAAUAUCUGGUCACAUUUCUUCAUAAUACUAGUUGCAACAAUUGAUACCAUUAUUGUAUUAAACAUAUAUAUAUAUAUAUAUUUGUUAUGAAAUGCACUGUGCAGUCCGUUCGCCAUUGAAUUCAAAGUUGCUAUAAUCAUCAACUUUCAGUCUCUGUUAUCCAGAUUACACCCAAAAUCUGAUCCAAUAACUCCAAGACUAAUGCAUGGGUAAGCAUCGUUAUUCCAGGUUUCUGUUGCAUUUCAAAGUUUUUUGUUGCAUCUAAAACUGUCUUCUCAAAUUUCAGGCAGCAACGGAAACUCACCCGCUUGAACUUGUUCCAGCUACGUGAGGUCCACAAAAUUUAUGAAUAUCACUAGUAACAAGCAUAGUUGUAACUGUGAAAUAGAAAAAAUAAAAAAAGGAAAAAGGAAGAACAAAAAGUAUGCAUAUUUAUGCAUCAUAUUGAUAAUGUGCACGUGCUUAAUUAGUUACAAACUUCAAUGUACUAGCAGAGCUUUCAAAUUGAAAUUAAUUUGGAAAUAUUGAAGGCUGCAAUAUAUACGCUUGUAGAUGUGAUUAAAUAUUUAAAUGCAGAGUAGGAUGAUUGUUUAAUCAAUGGGUUUUUUUAGGCCAACAUUUUAUCAAUGGUUGAAAUUGCCCCCACUCUAUAGCAUCGUACUUAAAAUAGUACAAUUUUAUACAGAAAAAAUGCAAUGCAAUUUUUGAAAUAGAGGUAACCUAGGAAGCAUAUAAAUAAAGACUCAAACUGAUAAUACUGUCUCAUGGGAAUGAAAUAAUUCUCUUUUUCAAUAAGAUUGGAUCAUCCUAUAUCUGGAGAAUGAGUAAUCCAGUUCCUCACCCUAUCCUUCUUUCCAAGUAAUUACAAAAUACGGUACAAAAUUACUUUUACCAAACACCCUGGAACAUAUAACGAAGUAAAUUCUCAUCGGAAAUGAAUCAGAUAGGUGAAACUUCUAGAGAAGAUGCAGAUAUUGAUAUAUACUUCUUCCUCUUGUGAUUGUGAAAGGUGAAUGAAGUCAAUGAACCACAUUUAAACAUCUGGCUUGCUCGCACUGUUCAGUAAGUUGUACCUUGUGGUGCUAUGAACAAAUAAAACUAUGAUUGGCGAUGGUGACACGAGUACUGGUGCCUCUGCUGCUUUCGCCAGUUUGAUUGAAGACUCCAUCUUCGAACUUGAGCAAAGUAUCAAUUAUCUCCAUCAGACGAUCAGGCAGGGCUGUCUUAACAUAAUCAUGUAGACUCAAGUCUCCUGUAAACAAGCUGCCAGUGAGACUUUUUCCCGUGAACAACUCCAUUAAAAGGAUGCGAUAGCUGCACACAUCACCAAGUGUGGAUAUUUCCUUUCCCAUACCAUAUUCUGCAAUUCGAAGAAUUUCAAGAAAGUACCACCAUCAUCAAGAUGAAGAUCAAAUGCAAAAUAUAUCAACUUUACUUGAUGACAAAUUAAACGAAAAAUAGUUUAAGGAUCGUAUAAACUUAACUCUGCAGGAAGUAGGUGCUAAUGACGGAGGGAAUUACCUGGUGGAACAUAUCCCACAGUUCCUGUUAUCCCAAUAGAACUGCUUUGCUCAUUAAUGGAUUGGCCAGUGGUCAUUGGAAGAAACUUUGUUAGGGCCGAAAUCACUAGCAUAGGCAGUAAAGUCACUAUCAAGAAGAACGUUGCUUGGCUUUAGAUCACAAUGGACAACCGGCUUGUCAAAUUGAGAAUGAAGAUAAUCUAAUGCUGUGGCCACAUCAAUAUCUAUGUUGAGCCUCUGGACUAGAUGCAAGUUUCUUGAAAGCUGCAGCUCAGUUGAGUUUGGAUGUAACCAACUUUCUAAACUCCCGGCAUAAAUUCAAACACCAAAGCUUUGAAGCUGUUACCUUGAAAAUCAAUAUUUGAGCAAGAUGUAAUGAUCUUCACAAGAUUUCAAUGUCUACAGGGAGGGAAUCAAUUGAUUUUUCAAGUUUUUGCAUAAGUGAACUUUUUGGCCAAAAAAUGAAUCGAUACCCUUGCCUAGGGGAUCAAUCAGGUCAAGCAGGUGAUCGAUCCCUUUCCUUCGAUGUUUAAUCCCUUCUAUCUCAUUUUGCCCAAAAUUGUUUUUGUUUCAUUUGUUUAGUAUUCUUUUGAUUCAAAGGCAUUUUUGGCAAGAUGAAAAGCUAGAAAAAUGUUCUAAUUCAUAUUAAAACAACUUAGUUCAUGUUAAGCAAAUUUUUGUUUCGUCAUUUCAAAAUAUAUUGAUCAAUUCAAGGCUAACAUUCUCCCCCAUUUUGAUAUGAUAAAACCAAAUGAAAAAAUUUGCUUUGAAAAGCAUUUUUCCUUUUAAAAGUAGGCUCCCUCUGAAUUUAAGCAUAAAAACUUAUUUUUAAUAAGCUAAGAACAAGUAAAUAGCCAUCCAUUAUUUUUGGCACAUUAAGCACAAUAUCAAGAGCAUUAAUAGAUAAGGCAAUACCAAGAUAUUCAUAUAAGCAUGAGCCUAAGGAUUACUCCUCCUGUAACAAGUAUUCAAUCCAAAAUAAGCAAGUCAUCAAAAAUUUCAAUUUGAGUAAAUAAGCAAUGUGAUCAAAAUUUCAUUUCAGACCUUUUCCCAUUUUGCAAAACCUUUUCCAAGUUUAGCCAAAAUUUUUCAUUUCAUUACUUCUCCCCUUUUUUGUCAUAGCAAAAAGAACAAGACAAUUAAAGUAAUAUGGUAAUCAAUUCAAGGCAACAAUAAGCUUAAUAUAUGUUCAAAUCAAACCAACUUAAUACCACAACUCAAUGCCAUAGCAAAUCAAUCAAUAUACCAAUUGCCACAUAACAUCUAUUUUAAACCAACUCCAACACAAUAUAACAAAUGCCAUUAUGAAAAUGAAAUGCAUAUGUCAUUAAUAUAAUUGUGAAGUCCCAAGGUUUAAAAACAUAAUGCAAACUAUCUUUAGGAAAAUUGAAACUUAAAAAAUUUAGAUAUGUAAGGAAAACAUGUAAGGCAUGGCAUCAAAGUGGAUCAUUGAGAAGGAGGAUAAGGUGGGAAAUGGUGAAAAUGCCUGGUUAAUCUCAGUCCUCAUUUGGUGAAUUUCUUUAGUCAUGGCAUUUUGAUUUAACUCUAAAUUUUCAAGUCUUGGGUUUAUGUCCCCAACCAUGGAGUGCAAGCUAUUCAUUUGAACCAUCAUAAUUUGUAAUGUACCUUGAGUAUUAAACGAUGGACUAAAGGGAUCUUCUUAAGGUACAUAUGGAACAUCUAUAGCAUCAUGCUCUCUUCGUCUUAGACAACCAAUUUCAAUCUUUCUAAUCCACAAACCAACUGCAUUUUAUGUAUAACUCAUAUUAUGCAAAGUAUGAACUCCAAAAAUGCUAAAUGGAUCAUUAAGUGUAAUCUUUUUAUCACUCAUAAUGUUUAUACCUAAUUUUUUCAAUAGAUUAUAUACAGCAAACUCACAGAUCAAAGUGUAAUCUCUAUUUUGCACCACCUUUAUCAUGUCAUUAAAAAUAAAGUGCCCAAGAUUAGUUUUCUUCUAGUGUUUAAUCUGAAUUGCCAAAUGGUGUCAAAACAUGGGUAAGUAUAAGGUGUAACAGGUUAUCAUGCAUAGGAAGUUUAGUAGCCUGUGUAGGAGCAACUCUCAAGUUUUCAUUCCCAAUGAUAUCUUGAACUAAAUCCAACAUAUUGCACUUAGUAUUUGUGUCCCCAUUAUCAUCUAGCAUAAAAGUUUUAGUCAAUAAUUUAUUAUUAACCAUAAUCUCUUUACCCAUUACGAAAGUUUUGGUCAAGAUAAUAUCUAUUUUCAUUCCCUUCAAUCUCAACACAUGUAGCAUUAUUAUAGAAUACCUUAUUCUCAUAAACUAUCCCAUCAAUGCACAAAUAAUUCAUCCAACCAAAAUCUUCAAAUACAUGCAGAUAAGGAAACUCAAUCGUUUGGAAAAAUUCAAGAAAUAUUACUCGUUUAUGCUUAAUCUUCUUACGAGCAAAAUUUGCUUCAAACCUCUUCUUAGUAGUAGGAUUCUCAAAAUUUUGAUUGAAUAAAGGCUUAAUUGAUGAACUAGAAGUCUCCCUUAGAGGAUUCCUUCUUGGUCCAACACCUCAUUUGGUUUUAGGUGCCAUAGAAAUUUUUUUUGGAAAAUUGGGUAUUAGAAAAUAGGUAAGUUUUUAUGAAAUUAAUGAAGGAAACUAACAAUGUUGGUGAUAAGAAGUGAUAUAUGUUUGUAAGAAGUAAAACUAUUAAGUGAAGGAUAAAAGUUUAAAAAAGGGAUCAAAAUUCUAGAGAGAGAAAAGAAUGAGUGACUGGAGAUGAUUUUGGUGUGAUUUCUAUGAAAAUAGAUGAAGAUUUUGCAAGAAAAUAAGAAAACUUAAAAUUUUUGCAAGAAAUUUUGAUUAAAAAUAUGAGUUUUGAAAGAAUUUAUGAGAGAAAAAACUAGGGUAUAAGGAGGCAAUGGAAUAGAAAGAGGAAGGGUGACGCUUCUAUAGGGUUUUGAUGAAAAAGAACCAAAAUUUGGAAUGCCAAAAUGGGGCAUUUUUGACACCGGAGUAUUUGCACAUCAUACAACUUGGGCUGAGACUAAAGAUGACUUUUCUAAAAAUAAGAUGAGCCUAUCAUUAGUCCAAAACCACUAAAUAAAUAUAUAAAUAAAGUGGAUUGAAAUAGGGAGAUUGUGUUCACACUAACUAGAAAAGAAGGGCAUAAAUAUGGAUGAGAUUAUGGUCAGAUUCAUUAUCAUAUAAUUUAUAGGAGUAAAUUGGCAGAUUAUGUUCAUAUGUGUAUCGCAUGAUUUUAGGCACAAUUCUAGUAAUGCAAUCUGAAAUUUUUCAUGCUUUGAGGGAUGUUCCUAGCCUAUAUAUUUUCUAUUAUUCUUUGGUAGAAGGUAGAAUAGAGUUUUUUUUAUCCUUAAAUAAUUUUUUAAAUUGUUCUUCAAGUUCUGUAUCUCUUAGAUGGAUUUCUUAGAGUAGUGAACUUCUAUUAUUUUGUAUCCUUAAUUAGAACUCUUAGGGUGGUGUUUUUGUAUCCUUUAGUUUUUAGUCUUGGUGGUGAACGUUUAUUCUUUUUAAUCCAAUAAUCGUAUUUUGUCGUUAUUCAAAUUCUUGUGAAUUAUUUUCUUUAUGAGUUUUUCUAUUUGCAAUUAAUCUCCGCAUCUCAAACAUCAAUUCCUGAAAUUAAAUUGGUAUCAGAGCUAUGGCAGAUCAUCAUCAUCAAGCACCAAUAGAAGAGGUUAAAGCCAACACCAAUGUUGUAGUAAUUACUAAUAUUGACCUAAGGGAUGCCCUCAUAUAGAAGAUAUAGCAAUAGAUCCUUUAAUUACAACAUCAAUUUCAUAUACAAUAAGAGAGAGAGGAGAUAAUAAGGCAACGAAAGAGGAACAAAGAAGGUGAAGGAGAAACCAAUCCAUACAGUGGAAAAAAUAACGAUUCUGGUGAUAGCACUUUAUCUCAUCCACAGCAAGUUAAAGAUUAUCUAUGCAAAAACCAACUUCAACCUAACAUAUUCAAUAUGAAUAUAGAGAUUCUCGAGCUCAAGGGAAAUAUGCAACUUGAAGAAUUCUUAGAUUGGCUAUACAUAGUCAAACACAUAUUUGAAUACCAUGAUGCCCUUGAACAUCGCAAGGUUAAGCUAGUGGCCAUCAAACUUAAAAAAGCAUACAUCCUUUUGGUGGAAAAAUCUGAAGAAGCAAAAGGAAAGAAAAGGUAGGAGAAAAAUUACAACUUGAAAAAAGAUGAAAAAAGAGUUGAAGAGAAAGUAUCUCUCAAACAACUUUUGGCAAGAUGUCUUCUUUAGUCUUCAUAACUUAAAGCAAAAAGAUCUCUAAGUGGAGGAGUAUACAACUGAGUUUGAUCACCUUAUGUUAAAAUAUGAAUUGGUGGAAUAUGAGAAGUAAACUAUUGCUCGGUAUCAUGGAGGAUUGAAGAUUAAGAUAGCUAAUGUGGUGUAGUUACAACCUUAUUGGACUUUCAAUGAUGUAUACAAGCUUGCCCUUAAGGUGGAGAGACAAUAAAAAAAGGCCUAUGGUAGCAACUUGAGAUUUAGGUCCCAAGAAGGCAAGCCUCUGUCUAGUGAACAAACUAAAAGGUGUUUUAAAUGUCAAAAGCUUGGACACAUUGCCUCAGCAUGCCCAAACAGAAAGAUUGUGACUUUAGUAGAGAAACACUUGGAGGAAAAUAAAGAGGAACAGGCUGAAGAGGAUCAAAACCUUAAAAAGGAGGAAGAGGUAACCUAUGGUGAUUAUGAAGCAUCUUUAGUUAUACAAUUAGCUUGAGUAUCGCACCUGUUAAAGAAGAAGAUUGGUUGUAUAAAAACAUAUUCCACACUUAGUGUACUACCCAUGAAAAGGUACAUAAUGUUAUAAUUGAUAGUGAAAGUUUUGAAAAUGUUAUUUCUACUUUUAUGGUAUAGAAGUUAGGCCUCAAAGUAAUGGAUCACCCUUAACCAUAUAAGCUAUCUUAGCUGCAGAAAGAGAAUGAAAUCAAGGUGAACAAGAGGUGUUUAGUUUUUUUUUCCAUAGGAAAAAAAUUAUAAAGAUGAAAUGUAGUGUGAUGUAGCUCUGAUGGAUGCUUGCCAUUAACUGCUCGAAAGACCUUGGCAUUAUGAUAAGAGGGUUAUUUAUGAUGGUUACCAUAACACUUACACAUUUAUGAAAGAUGGAUAUAAAAUCAUCCUAUGCCAUACCAAGCCUAUGAUGAUUUUCAAACCAACCAAAGAAGAAGGAAGUAGCUUAUUUACUAAGGUCAAUUAUAGAAAGAAAAUUAAAAUGAGUGAUACCAUACAUGCAUUAAUGUUGAUUGAGGAGAAUAAAGAUAGUGAGAAGUCCCCUAUAAUGAUAUAAUCAUUAUUAGCAGAAUUUCAAGAUGUUAUUCAAGAAGAGUUAUCAACUGGUUUACCACCAAUGAGGGAUAUUCAACACUAUAUAGACCU
This 22596-nucleotide long non-coding RNA is filed under the name Durio zibethinus. Its description in RNAcentral is "long non-coding RNA (DZIB_LNC000094)". The record is from RNAcentral. Lineage: Eukaryota; Viridiplantae; Streptophyta; Magnoliopsida; Malvales; Malvaceae.